Pantherophis guttatus is the source of this 667-nucleotide non-coding RNA. The record is from RefSeq and is a predicted model, not a curated record. Lineage: Eukaryota; Metazoa; Chordata; Lepidosauria; Squamata; Colubridae.
GAUAUUCUCCAGCCUUUUCCUAGCCACUUUCUAUUACUGGAUGUUUAGCAAUUCUGUCUGAGUAUGUAACCAUAGAAACUAGACAUCAUGGCAAUUCACAUCAGUCUUCCCCCAUCCCUCACCCCUGCCCCAGACCCAGGAAACUGUGCUGCUAAAAUGCUACUUUUGUAGUAGAGAAUAAGUCAUGGGGUCUUCCUUGUCAGCAGUACUUACACCUUGCUAUUUCUGACAACAUCCUAACUAUUGCAUGGAAACAACUAUCAGCCUGGAAUGCAAAUAUUAAAAAAAUAAAUACUCACGUAAGCACUGUGGGACUUCACCACUCCAUGUUCCGUUCCCAACACAAGUCAAAACAGCAGGAAAUGAUAAUUCAUAGCCAGGAAACAUGUACUGAAGUGCAUGAUACAAGAAGAUUUGUACUCAAUACAGUAUAAAAAUGGAGAAAUGGAAAAAAAUGGUGGGAAACAAAUGUGAAAUUGACCAUGUCAGUGGUGUACAAGGAAAAUCAGUACAAGAUGUUUUAUAGAUGGCAUCUCCCGCCGGCGAGACUUGCCAAAAUGUUUCCAAAUACGUCACCGAUUUGCUGGAAAUGAUGGAAGCUGACCAGACCAGUUGUGAUCUUGCUGGCAUAUCCGUACAGAAGAACCAAUGAGCCGAAAGCCAGGAC